Tachyglossus aculeatus (Australian echidna) is the source of this 3844-nucleotide long non-coding RNA. RefSeq lists it as uncharacterized. NCBI's taxonomy places the organism in Eukaryota, Metazoa, Chordata, Mammalia, Monotremata, Tachyglossidae. The transcript has 2 exons. The record is from RefSeq and is a predicted model, not a curated record.
AAAGCCCGGGCUUUUUCCACUGAGCCACGCUGCUUCUACUAUGAGCCCGCUGUUGCGUAGGGACCGUCUCUAUAAGAUGCCCCCUUCCCAUCUGGGCCCUCUUCCAGCGCCGGACCACUACCGUCCCGUGGGGAGAGUAAAUAUCUUGAGUUGGUGGGACGGGAACGAGACUGGUGGCAAUUUGAUCCCCUCCCUCCCUCCCUCCAUCCCUUCCUCUCCCUCUCCCCUCUGCCCGCCCUCUCCGCACUGGCUUUCUAAACCCCAGCCCCAGGCCCACAAGGCCAGUGCGACCCCAUUUUCGGGAGAAAGGGAAAUCCCCACCCAGGGGAGACCGCGGGGACGCGAGUCCCAGCCGGAGCUGGAAUCAGGGCUCGAUUUCACCCGCUCCACCCGCGCCACCACGCUGCCUCUUGUUCCAGAAAGGAAAAGUCGCCAAAGCCGCUGACCACCGUACGGGACUCGCCCUGCGCAGCUGCCCACGGCACGUCACUGCCUCUUGUUCUAGAAAGGAAAGACCCCCAAAGUCCUUCUGCAGGUUGCUACCCACCGCACAUCACUGCUUCUUGCUCUAGAAAGACCCCAAAGUCCUUCUGCAGGUUGCUACCCACCGCACAUCACUGCUUCUUGUUCUAGAAAGACCCCAAAGUCCUUCUGCAGGUUGUUACCCACCGCACAUCACUGCUUCUUCUUCUAGAAAGGAAAGACCCCCCAAAGUCCUUCUGCAGGUUGCUACCACCGCACAUCACCGCUUCUUGUUCUAGAAAGACCCCCAAAGUCCUUCUGCAGGUUGCUACCCACCGCACAUCACUGCUUCUUGUUUUAGAAAGACCCCAAAGUCCUUCUGCAGGUUGCGACCCACCGCCCAUCACUGCUUCUUGCUCUAGAAAGACCCCAAAUUCCUUCUGCAGGUUGCGACCCACCGCCCAUCACUGCUUCUUGUUCUAGAAAGGAAAGACCCCCCCAAAGUCCUUCUGCAGGUUGCUACCCACCGCACAUCGCUGCUUCUUGUUCUAGAAAGACCCUAAAGUCCUUCUGCAGGUUGCUACCCACUGCACAUCACUCCUUCUUGUUCUAGAAAGGAAAGACCCCCCAAAGUCCUUCUGCAGGUUGCUACCCACCGCACAUCACUGCUUCUUGUUCUAGAAAGACCCCAAAGUCCUUCUGUAGGUUGCUGCCCACCGCACAUCACUGCUUCUUGUUCUAGAAAGACCCCCAAAGUCCUUCUGCAGGUUGCUACCCACCGUACAUCACUGUUUCUUGUUCUAGAAAGACCCCCAAAGUCCUUCUGCAGGUUGCUACCCACCGCACAUCACUGCUUCUUGUUCUAGAAAGACCCCCAAAGUCCUUCUGCAGGUUGCUACCCACCACACAUCACUGCUUCUUGUUCUAGAAAGGAAAGACCCCAAAGUCCUUCUGCAGGUUGCUACCCCACCGCCCAUCACUGCUUCUUGUUCUAGAAAGACCCCAAAGUCCUUCUGCAGGUUGGUACCCACCGCACAUAACUGCUUCUUCUUCUAGAAAGGAAAGACCCCCCCCAAAGUCCUUCUGCAGGUUGCGACCCACCGCACAUCACUGCUUCUUGUUUUAGAAAGACCCCCAAAGUCCUUCUGCAAGUUGCUACCCACCGCCCAUCACUGCUUCUUGUUCUAGAAAGACCCCAAAGUCCUUCUGCAGGUUGCUACCCACUGCACAUCACUGCUUCUUGUUCUAGAAAGGAAAGACCCCCCAAAGUCCUUCUGCAGGUUGCUACCCACCGCACAUCACUGCUUCUUGUUUUAGAAAGACUCCAAAGUCCUUCUGCAGGUUGCUACCCACCGCACAUCACUGCUUCUUGUUUUAGAAAGACUCCAAAGUCCUUCUGCAGGUUGCUACCCACCGCACAUCACUGCUUCUUGUUCUAGAAAGGAAAGACCCCCAAAGUCCUUCUGCAGGUUGCUACCCACCGCACAUCACUGCUUCUUGUUCUAGAAAGACCCCAAAGUCAUUCUGCAGGUUGCUACCCACCGCACAUCACUGCUUCUUGUUCUAGAAAGACCCCAAAGUCCUUCUGCAGGUUACUACCCACCGCCCAUCACUGCUUCUUGUUCUAGAAAGACCCCAAAGUCCUUCUGCAGGUUGCUACCCACCGCACAUCACUGCUUCUUGUUCUAGAAAGGAAAGACCCCCAAAGUCCUUCUGCAGGUUGCUACCCAUCACACAUCAUUGCUGCUUGUUCUAGAAAGACCCCAAAGUCCUUCUGCAGGUUGCAACCCACUGCCCAUCACUGCUUCUUGUUCUAGAAAGACCCCAAAGUCCUUCUGCAGGCUGCGACCCACCGCCCAUCACUGCUUCUUGUUCUAGAAAGAAAAGUCCCCCAAAGUCCUUCUGCAGGUUGCUACCCACCGCCCAUCACUGCUUCUUGUUCUAGAAAGACCCCAAAGUCCUUCUGCAGGUUGCUACCCACUGCACAUCACUGCUUCUUGUUCUAGAAAGGAAAGACCCCCCAAAGUCCUUCUGCAGGUUGCUACCCACCGCACAUCACUGCUUCUUGUUUUAGAAAGACUCCAAAGUCCUUCUGCAGGUUGCUACCCACCGCACAUCACUGCUUCUUGUUUUAGAAAGACUCCAAAGUCCUUCUGCAGGUUGCUACCCACCGCACAUCACUGCUUCUUGUUCUAGAAAGGAAAGACCCCCAAAGUCCUUCUGCAGGUUGCUACCCACCGCACAUCACUGCUUCUUGUUCUAGAAAGACCCCAAAGUCCUUCUGCAGGUUGCUACCCACCGCACAUCACUGCUUCUUGUUCUAGAAAGACCCCAAAGUCCUUCUGCAGGUUACUACCCACCGCCCAUCACUGCUUCUUGUUCUAGAAAGACCCCAAAGUCCUUCUGCAGGUUGCUACCCACCGCACAUCACUGCUUCUUGUUCUAGAAAGGAAAGACCCCCAAAGUCCUUCUGCAGGUUGCUACCCAUCACACAUCAUUGCUGCUUGUUCUAGAAAGACCCCAAAGUCCUUCUGCAGGUUGCAACCCACUGCCCAUCACUGCUUCUUGUUCUAGAAAGACCCCAAAGUCCUUCUGCAGGCUGUGACCCACCGCCCAUCACUGCUUCUUGUUCUAGAAAGAAAAGUCCCCCAAAGUCCUUCUGCAGGUUGCUACCCACCGCCCAUCACUGCUUCUUGUUCUAGAAAGACCCCAAAGUCCUUCUGCAGGUUGCUACCCACUGCACAUCACUGCUUCUUGUUCUAGAAAGGAAAGACCCCCCCAAAGUCCUUCUGCAGGUUGCUACCCACCGCACAUCACUGCUUCUUGUUCUAGAAAGGAAAGUCCUGCAGGUUUCUACCCACCGCACAUCAUUCUAGAAAGGAAAGACCCCAAAGUCCCGCAGGUUGCUACCCACCGCACAUCAUUGCUUCUUGUUCUAGAAAGGAAAGUCCCCCAAAGUCCUUCUGCAGGUUGCUACCCCCUGCACAUCACUGCUUCUUGUUCUAGAAAGGAAAGACCCCCAAAGUCCUUCUGCAGGUUGCUACCCACCGCACAUCACUGCUUCUUGUUCUAAAAAGGAAAGACCCCCCAAAGUCCUGCAGGUUGCUACCCACCGCACAUCAUUCUAGAAAGGAAAAACCCCUAAAGUCCUGCAAUCAACCCAUUUAGGAGGUUGGUGAGAGGAAGGUCUUUCCCCCCCUAAACUGGUCGUUGUCGGCUCUCGGCUUCUUCAAAUUGGGCUUAAUCGCUCGUGGCUAAGAUCCCACCCCCACCCCCAAACCUGAACAGCAGCCUAUUUAACGUGAUUCUCAAAAUGUUUAUUUCUGUUGUCUUGUUUACUCAGAUGAUGUGAUUCACUAAUAAAAAUUAGUUUCUAAUAGGC